GGAGGGGGGCUAGCGUUGUUCGGAAUUACUGGGCGUAAAGGGCGCGUAGGCGGAUCGUCAAGUCAGAGGGUGAAAGCCCUGGGGCUCAACCUGGGAAUUGCCUUUGAAACUAAUGGUCUAGAGUCCCGAGAGAGGAUGGCGGAAUUCCCAGUGUAGAGGUGAAAUUCGUAGAUAUUGGGAAGAACACCAGUGGCGAAGGCGGCCAUCUGGCUCGGUACUGACGCUGAGGCGCGAAAGCGUGGGGAGCAAACAGGAUUAGAUACCCUGGUAGUCCACGCCGUAAACGAUGUGUGCUAGCCGUUGGGGAACCUAGUUUCUCAGUGGCGCAGCUAACGCAUUAAGCACACCGCCUGGGGAGUACGGUCGCAAGAUUA
This 374-nucleotide ribosomal RNA is filed under the name uncultured organism. RNAcentral describes it as "partial 16S ribosomal RNA". It matches the Rfam family "Bacterial small subunit ribosomal RNA", at positions 526 to 896 of the family's 1533-position model. The record is from RNAcentral.